Molecule: ribosomal RNA, 442 nt
Filed under: uncultured Sphingobacteriales bacterium
Lineage: Bacteria; Pseudomonadati; Bacteroidota; Sphingobacteriia; Sphingobacteriales
Description: bacterial SSU rRNA
Rfam family: Bacterial small subunit ribosomal RNA
Source: RNAcentral
AGCAUGUGGUUAAUUCGAUGAUACGCGAGGACCUUACCUGGGCUCAAAUGUAUGUUGACGUAUUCUGAAAGGGAUACUUCUUCGGACAAUAUACAAGGUGCUGCAUGGUUGUCGUCAGCUCGUGCCGUGAGGUGUCGGGUUAAGUCCCAUAACGAGCGCAACCCCUAUCAUUAGUUGCCAUCAGGUCAAGCUGGGGACUCUAAAGGAACUGCCUACGCAAGUAGUGAGGAAGGCGGGGAUGACGUCAAAUCAGCACGGCCCUUACGUCCAGGGCUACACACGUGCUACAAUGGCCGAUACAGAGGGCAGCUACCUGGUGACAGGAUGCAAAUCUCCAAAGUCGGUCUCAGUUCGGAUCGGAGUCUGCAACCCGACUCCGUGAAGUUGGAUUCGCUAGUAAUCGCGCAUCAGCCAUGGCGCGGUGAAUACGUUCCCGGGCCUU